AGAGUUUGAUCAUGGCUCAGAGUGAACGCUGGCGGCGUGCUUAACACAUGCAAGUCGAGCGAGAUUUGACAGCACACCGUCAGGUCUAGCGGCAGACGGGUGAGUAAUACUUGGGCAAUCUACCCUUAAGUGGGGGACAACCUGCCGAAAGGCGGGCUAAUACCCCAUAAGACCACAGGAAUGCAUAUUCCAGGGGUCAAAGCUCCGCAAGGGGCGCUAAAGGAGGAGCCCGAGUCCUAUCAUGGUAGUUGGCGGGGUAAUGGCCCACCAAGCCGUUGACGGGUAGCCGGCCUGAAAGGGCAACCGGCCACACUGGCACUGAGACACGGGCCAGACUCCUACGGGAGGCAGCAGUGGGGAAUUUUGGACAAUGGGGGCAACCCUGAUCCAGCGACGCCGCGUGAAGGAUGAAGGUCUUCGGAUUGUAAACUUCUUUUGAAGGGGAUGAAUGCCCUGGUGAAUAGCCAGGGGUGACAGUACUCUUCGAAUAAGCCACGGCUAACUACGUGCCAGCAGCCGCGGUAAUACGUAGGUGGCAAGCGUUACUCGGAAUCACUAGGCGUAAAGCGCAGGUAGGAGGUUUGAUAAGUCUGUUGUGAAAGCUCCCGGCUUAACUGGGAGAGGCCAACGGAAACUAUCAGGCUGGAGUGCGGUAGAGGUAGCUGGAAUUCCCGGUGUAGCGGUGAAAUGCGUAGAUAUCGGGAGGAAUACCUAUGGCGAAAGCAGGCUACUGGACCGUCACUGACUCUGAUCUGCGAAAGCUAGGGGAGCAAACAGGAUUAGAUACCCUAGUAGUCC
This 798-nucleotide ribosomal RNA is filed under the name uncultured bacterium. RNAcentral describes it as "bacterial SSU rRNA". It matches the Rfam family "Bacterial small subunit ribosomal RNA", at positions 8 to 796 of the family's 1533-position model. The record is from RNAcentral.